Molecule: unclassified non-coding RNA, 305 nt
Filed under: Sebacinales sp.
Lineage: Eukaryota; Fungi; Basidiomycota; Agaricomycetes; Sebacinales
Description: partial contains 5.8S ribosomal RNA, internal transcribed spacer 2, and large subunit ribosomal RNA
Rfam family: 5.8S ribosomal RNA (bases 1-71)
Source: RNAcentral
GUGAGUCAUCGAAUCUUUGAACGCACCUUGCACCCUUUGGUAUUCCAAAGGGUACGCCCGUUUGAGUGUCGUUGUAACCUCACUUCAGAGCAAUCUGAAUGUGGACUUGGGAGUUGCCGUGAAUGGCCCUCCUCAAAAGCCUCAGUGCAAUCCUCGAUGUGCCGUAAAGGUGUGAUAAAUCACUCACCGUGACAAAGGCGCUCGGGUCCCUUGUGCUUCCAACUGUCUCCUGAGACAACUUGAACAUUUGACCUCAAAUCGGGUGGGACUACCCGCUGAACUUAAGCAUAUCAAUAAGCGGAGGA